AGAGUUUGAUCCUGGCUCAGAUUGAACGCUGGCGGAAUGCUUUACACAUGCAAGUCGAACGGCAGCACGGGGGCAACCCUGGUGGCGAGUGGCGAACGGGUGAGUAAUACAUCGGAACGUGCCCAGUCGUGGGGGAUAACGCAGCGAAAGCUGUGCUAAUACCGCAUACGAUCUACGGAUGAAAGCGGGGGACUCGCAAGGGCCUCGCGCGAUUGGAGCGGCCGAUGGCAGAUUAGGUAGUUGGUGGGGUAAAGGCUCACCAAGCCUGCGAUCUGUAGCUGGUCUGAGAGGACGACCAGCCACACUGGGACUGAGACACGGCCCAGACUCCUACGGGAGGCAGCAGUGGGGAAUUUUGGACAAUGGGCGCAAGCC
RNAcentral lists this ribosomal RNA (375 nucleotides) under uncultured bacterium. RNAcentral describes it as "bacterial SSU rRNA". It matches the Rfam family "Bacterial small subunit ribosomal RNA", at positions 8 to 383 of the family's 1533-position model. The record is from RNAcentral.